CCAGGCCUUCCCUGGCCAGCGUGACCUACUUUCCUGGCUGAGUGACACUGAGGGGAAAAUGGUCGGUGACGGGCAGCCCUGCUCUGCGUGCAGCCAGCGGGGAGGGUGACCAGUGCCCUCGCAGCCAGGUAGGGAGUCCUGGCGGGCAGAGACCGGUGCCCCCCGCCCCGCCACAGCUGAGCGCAGUGGUGAGCAGAGGCGGGCACUCCCAUUCCUGCGUGUCCAGCCCGGGUCCCCUCCAUUGCUUCACGGUCGACAGAGACCUUGGAGGCCCCAACCCUCCAGGGCCCGGGCAGCAGGAUCCCAGACUGUCUCAAAGGCACCUCCUGCUGAGCUGGACAGCCGGCUCAGGGCCCCGGGGCAGCUAUUUCCCCUUCCCUCAGGGACACUGCCCACCCCAGGCCCCCGGGUGCAUCUGCUGAGCAGGUGCGCGGCUUGGAGGGACUUGGUGACACACUGGGCCAGCAUCUGUGCAGUGGCGCCCCAGCCUGGCUCGGGGAGGGCACCAGGACAGCAGUCCCUCUGAGGGUGCUUCUCACGCACCCGGAGUCCCUGCUUCCACCUCGAGGCUGCUGCUCGAACCCUGCCCAAUCCGCCUCCACCAGCUUCUCCCCGCCAGCCAGGCAGUGUCCCCCUGCUCCGCUCCAGGGCCGUUCCUGCUGCCUCCAGAUGGUGACCAGGCCCAGAUAGGGGCUGCUGAGUGGCCACAGUAGAUGUGUCCAGAGGACCCUCAGACGCAUGUCGGAGUCCCUGAAACCAGUGGGUCAGAAGAAGCCUUUGCAGCCCCGUGUGGGGGCGCACAUCUACAAUCCAGCACUCUGGGAGACUGGGGGAGGAAGAACACAAGCCUGAGCAACUAGUGACUUAGCAAGACUCUGUCUCAAAAUUUAAAAAGGGCUGGAGGUGCAGCUCAGUGCAAAGGCUAUGGGUUCAAUCCUCGGGACUGAAAGAAGAGGAAGCGGGCGGGGACCUCUUACAGCCUGGGUUUCACUGGGCACAAAGCGGAAGCUGAGUCACAGUGCAGCUAGUAGCAUGGGCCAGCCCACCCGCCACCCUCCGCGUUGCCCUCUCCUGGGCUUCAGGUCGUGGGGUUCUCGGGUGGCCCGGAGGCCUGGAGGCCCAGCUCGGGCGCUGUGGAAGAUGUGCAUGGAAUCCCUGGGCUGUGUGCUCACACCUGUCACUCCCACACGUGUCCACCACGCACACAGCCUGGUGCCUGAGCCCCUCCAGGCCAUGUGGUCACAGGGCAUGGCAGAGGCUGUCCCAGCAUGUGUACCCCGGGGGAAACCAGAGGACUGCUGCUGCCAGGCCUCCUCCAGCCGAGGCUCCGAGCCAGCGUGGACGGAGGUGCCCAGCAGCCUCCACGGGUGCAGCUGUCCUAUCGCCCCUCCUCCACAAAAAGGCAGCUCAUUAGGGGAAACUGAGGCAGGGAGCCCCAGGCCCCAGAGGGCUGACAGCUGUGGUGGCUGUCCCCACCAGGGCUUUCCUCAGGCAGCCCAGGUACUGGGCCCCCACGCUGGCUGUCCUGGGCUCCAGGGAGUCCAGUGAAGCCCAGAUAUGACACCUGAGCCACCUCCGCAGUGCCCCUCCCACCUCUGCAGUGUCCCCUCCCACCUCUGCAGUGUCCCCUCCCACCUUCAGUGUCCCCUCCCACCUCCAGUGUCGCCUGCCCACUCCCUCCCUGGUCCCCACAUCACCAAGAGCAGCGACAUCUCAUCACUAGCAAGCCUCUGAGGGUGGCUUCCAGGGAGCUGAGGCUUCUGCCCACAGACAGGGAUGUGGCUUCUCAGGAGGAGCAGGGCACCUGGGCCGGGCGUGGGGACAGAGCACAAUGGCCCCUUCCCUGCCUGGAUUCUGCUGUUCUGCGACAGGGGUCUAGAGGAAUACAUGAAGGAGCUAAACCAGGGUGGGUUUGUUUAAAGCCAUUAACGUGACACCAUCAACUGGCAGGUGAGACAGCAUUUCCUCUGCUCCAUGAGGGACCCAGGUUCUGGCCAGUGGACCGAGUCCAGACCAGGGGCGUUUCCAGCCUCUGCACAGCACAGCCCCCAGUGGCACAUUUUCCACACGGGUGACUUCUGUGGCGGAGGGGCUGGCACCACGAGCUGAGUAAUGAGCCACCUCGCUGGUCCUCGUCACUCACUCUGUCCUUGUCUCCUGCGAGUUUUCCAGGUCGCUUGGGCAGCCGGAGACGUCAUCUGAGUGACUCAGUGUUUGUCCUCUGCACACUGCACUGACCAGCCUGACGGGAACACCGGCCACGUGAUGUGGGCCCCUGGGCGGCUGUGCUGUGGGGAUGCCAGGACCUGCUGCUGCGAUGCAGCUGACGUGCAGGGUGGACGCUCUUCUGUCCCAGAUCCCGUUUCCUGAGGCUUUGUGCUUUGGCAGAGGCCAGGAGGCACCUUGGCUGGGGGAGACCCCAGGACCAGGGUGACAUCUGAGACCCCGCCAGUGCCCCCGGGCAGGUCUGCGGAGCAAUGCUGGCCUGGCCUUGGCUGUGCUCUGCCAGAGGGGCCAGCGCUGUUCUACACUCGGAGAGCCAUGGAAGCUGGGUCUCGAGAGCGCCCUGAGUCUGUGCGCCCUACACUAGCCUGGCCCACCCCAUGGGCCCUGGUGGGCCAGGGAAAUGACACACCCAUCCUCAUGCUAAGCGAGGGGUCCUCGACCCUUCCCUGCACUCCAGGGAAGCAAUUGCGGCUCCUAGGAGGAACCACAUGUCUUGGAAAACACCACAGCAAAGCCAAGAACUGUGAAGAAAGAAGACAGCAGAGGAAAGUCUAGGCCUCUCCUGUCCAGAUACUCAGACUCGCCGGACACUGAGCUCCUCCCGAGGUCCUUCUGCGAGGCCACACAGAGGUGGACACAUCCAGGGAGGCCAGCGUGGGGUGCCCCAGGGGGCUUCCAUCUGCUGUUUACCCUUGGAAUCAGAAAACGGACUGAAGGCUUUGGGUUUAAAAAGCAUGAACACCACUCAACUGUAAAACUUUUC
This 2989-nucleotide long non-coding RNA is filed under the name Heterocephalus glaber (naked mole-rat). Its description in RNAcentral is "lncRNA (ENSHGLG00100047449.1)". Lineage: Eukaryota; Metazoa; Chordata; Mammalia; Rodentia; Bathyergidae. The record is from RNAcentral.